AGCGCAUACGGUGGAUGCCUUGGCAGUCAGAGGCGAUGAAAGACGUGGUAGCCUGCGAAAAGCUUCGGGGAGUCGGCAAACAGACUUUGAUCCGGAGAUCUCUGAAUGGGGGAACCCACCUAGGAUAACCUAGGUAUCUUGUACUGAAUCCAUAGGUGCAAGAGGCGAACCAGGGGAACUGAAACAUCUAAGUACCCUGAGGAAAAGAAAUCAACCGAGAUUCCCUUAGUAGUGGCGAGCGAACGGGGAUUAGCCCUUAAGCUUCAUUGAUUUUAGCGGAACGCUCUGGAAAGUGCGGCCAUAGUGGGUGAUAGCCCCGUACGCGAAAGGAUCUUUGAAGUGAAAUCGAGUAGGACGGAGCACGAGAAACUUUGUCUGAACAUGGGGGGACCAUCCUCCAAGGCUAAAUACUACUGACUGACCGAUAGUGAACCAGUACCGUGAGGGAAAGGCGAAAAGAACCCCGGAGAGGGGAGUGAAAUAGAACCUGAAACCGUAUGCGUACAAGCAGUGGGAGCCUACUUGUUAGGUGACUGCGUACCUUUUGUAUAAUGGGUCAGCGACUUAUAUUCAGUGGCAAGCUUAACCGUAUAGGGUAGGCGUAGCGAAAGCGAGUCUUAAUAGGGCGUUUAGUCGCUGGGUAUAGACCCGAAACCGGGCGAUCUAUCCAUGAGCAGGUUGAAGGUUAGGUAACACUGACUGGAGGACCGAACCCACUCCCGUUGAAAAGGUAGGGGAUGACUUGUGGAUCGGAGUGAAAGGCUAAUCAAGCUCGGAGAUAGCUGGUUCUCCUCGAAAGCUAUUUAGGUAGCGCCUCAUGUAUCACUCUGGGGGGUAGAGCACUGUUUCGGCUAGGGGGUCAUCCCGACUUACCAAACCGAUGCAAACUCCGAAUACCCAGAAGUGCCGAGCAUGGGAGACACACGGCGGGUGCUAACGUCCGUCGUGAAAAGGGAAACAACCCAGACCGCCAGCUAAGGUCCCAAAGUUGUGGUUAAGUGGUAAACGAUGUGGGAAGGCUUAGACAGCUAGGAGGUUGGCUUAGAAGCAGCCAUCCUUUAAAGAAAGCGUAAUAGCUCACUAGUCGAGUCGGCCUGCGCGGAAGAUGUAACGGGGCUCAAACCACACACCGAAGCUGCGGGUGUCACGUAAGUGACGCGGUAGAGGAGCGUUCUGUAAGCCUGUGAAGGUGAGUUGAGAAGCUUGCUGGAGGUAUCAGAAGUGCGAAUGCUGACAUGAGUAACGACAAUGGGUGUGAAAAACACCCACGCCGAAAGACCAAGGGUUCCUGCGCAACGUUAAUCGACGCAGGGUUAGUCGGUUCCUAAGGCGAGGCUGAAAAGCGUAGUCGAUGGGAAACAGGUUAAUAUUCCUGUACUUCUGGUUACUGCGAUGGAGGGACGGAGAAGGCUAGGCCAGCUUGGCGUUGGUUGUCCAAGUUUAAGGUGGUAGGCUGAAAUCUUAGGUAAAUCCGGGGUUUCAAGGCCGAGAUCUGAUGACGAGUCGUCUUUUAGAUGACGAAGUGGUUGAUGCCAUGCUUCCAAGAAAAGCUUCUAAGCUUCAGGUAACCAGGAACCGUACCCCAAACCGACACAGGUGGUCGGGUAGAGAAUACCAAGGCGCUUGAGAGAACUCGGGUGAAGGAACUAGGCAAAAUGGCACCGUAACUUCGGGAGAAGGUGCGCCGGCUAGGGUGAAGGAUUUACUCCGUAAGCUCUGGCUGGUCGAAGAUACCAGGCCGCUGCGACUGUUUAUUAAAAACACAGCACUCUGCAAACACGAAAGUGGACGUAUAGGGUGUGACGCCUGCCCGGUGCCGGAAGGUUAAUUGAUGGGGUUAGCGCAAGCGAAGCUCUUGAUCGAAGCCCCGGUAAACGGCGGCCGUAACUAUAACGGUCCUAAGGUAGCGAAAUUCCUUGUCGGGUAAGUUCCGACCUGCACGAAUGGCGUAACGAUGGCGGCGCUGUCUCCACCCGAGACUCAGUGAAAUUGAAAUCGCUGUGAAGAUGCAGUGUAUCCGCGGCUAGACGGAAAGACCCCGUGAACCUUUACUGUAGCUUUGCACUGGACUUUGAGCCUGCUUGUGUAGGAUAGGUGGGAGGCUUUGAAGCGUGGACGCCAGUUCGCGUGGAGCCAUCCUUGAAAUACCACCCUGGCAUGCUUGAGGUUCUAACUCUGGUCCGUGAUCCGGAUCGAGGACAGUGUAUGGUGGGCAGUUUGACUGGGGCGGUCUCCUCCUAAAGAGUAACGGAGGAGUACGAAGGUGCGCUCAGACCGGUCGGAAAUCGGUCGCAGAGUAUAAAGGCAAAAGCGCGCUUGACUGCGAGACAGACACGUCGAGCAGGUACGAAAGUAGGUCUUAGUGAUCCGGUGGUUCUGUAUGGAAGGGCCAUCGCUCAACGGAUAAAAGGUACUCCGGGGAUAACAGGCUGAUACCGCCCAAGAGUUCAUAUCGACGGCGGUGUUUGGCACCUCGAUGUCGGCUCAUCACAUCCUGGGGCUGAAGCCGGUCCCAAGGGUAUGGCUGUUCGCCAUUUAAAGUGGUACGCGAGCUGGGUUUAGAACGUCGUGAGACAGUUCGGUCCCUAUCUGCCGUGGACGUUUGAGAUUUGAGAGGGGCUGCUCCUAGUACGAGAGGACCGGAGUGGACGAACCUCUGGUGUUCCGGUUGUCACGCCAGUGGCAUUGCCGGGUAGCUAUGUUCGGAAAAGAUAACCGCUGAAAGCAUCUAAGCGGGAAACUUGCCUCAAGAUGAGAUCUCACUGGGAACUUGAUUCCCCUGAAGGGCCGUCGAAGACUACGACGUUGAUAGGCUGGGUGUGUAAGCGUUGU
This 2832-nucleotide ribosomal RNA is filed under the name Pseudomonas aeruginosa. Its description in RNAcentral is "bacterial LSU rRNA". It matches the Rfam family "Bacterial large subunit ribosomal RNA". The record is from RNAcentral. Lineage: Bacteria; Pseudomonadati; Pseudomonadota; Gammaproteobacteria; Pseudomonadales; Pseudomonadaceae.